Molecule: ribosomal RNA, 465 nt
Filed under: uncultured bacterium
Lineage: Bacteria
Description: SSU rRNA
Rfam family: Bacterial small subunit ribosomal RNA
Source: RNAcentral
AGGACUAACGCUGGCGGCGUGCCUAACACAUGCAAGUCGAACGAGGUAGCAAUACCUAGUGGCAGACGGGUGAGUAACGCGUGGUCAACCUACCUCUUAGUGGGGGAUAACUAGCCGAAAGGUUAGCUAAUACCGCAUACGAUCGUCGCGAGGCAUCUCGUGACGAUGAAAGGAGCAAUUCGCUAAGAGAGGGGACUGCGUCCCAUUAGUUAGUUGGUGGGGUAAUGGCCCACCAAGACUCCGAUGGGUAGCUGGCUUGAGAGAGCGACCAGCCACACUGGAACUGAGACACGGUCCAGACUCCUACGGGAGGCAGCAGUGAGGAAUUUUCCGCAAUGGGCGCAAGCCUGACGGAGCGACGCCGCGUGUGGGAAGAAGGCCUUCGGGUCGUAAACCACUGUCGAAGGGGACGAUAUUGACGGUACCCUUGGAGGAAGCCCGGCUAACGUACGCGCCAGCAGCCGC